This 353-nucleotide transfer-messenger RNA is filed under the name Lactobacillaceae bacterium. It matches the Rfam family "transfer-messenger RNA". From Rfam's summary of the family: Bacterial tmRNA, also known as 10Sa RNA or SsrA, is named for its dual tRNA and mRNA-like properties. The record is from RNAcentral. Lineage: Bacteria; Bacillati; Bacillota; Bacilli; Lactobacillales; Lactobacillaceae.
GGGGUAGUCUUGGAAAUCGAUAGGCUAUUACAUAUAUUGACUGCAAUCCGGGUGGUUACGUCACAAACCGCAGAAAAAUAACUGCAAAAAAUACUAAUUCUUACGCUGUAGCUGCCUAAAAAGCACUCGCGUUGCUGGCGUUCGGCUCGCUCUUAGUCGUUCCCCGGUUAAUCUAAUGAGCUUGGGUGUAGUUGUUCUGUUCGGACAAGUGCAUCGACACUAAUCGGACUAGCUAAUAGUUUUAGUAGCGUUGACCUUCUGACUAUUAGUUAAAUCGAAUCGUCGACUAUGAUUGUAGACGUUGAUAUGAAUGGAUAGUUUACACAGGGGUUCGAAUCCCCUCUACUCCAUAA